This 430-nucleotide ribosomal RNA is filed under the name uncultured archaeon. RNAcentral's name for it is "bacterial SSU rRNA". It matches the Rfam family "Archaeal small subunit ribosomal RNA", at positions 474 to 903 of the family's 1478-position model. The record is from RNAcentral.
UACCUGCAGCUCGAGUGGUAACCGCUAUUAUUGGGCCUAAAGCGUCCGUAGCCGGUUUGGUAAAUAUCUGGGUAAAUCGUGAGGCUUAACUUCACGAAUUUCGGAUAGACUGCCAGACUUGGGGUCGGGGGAGGUCAGAGGUACUCCAGGAGUAGCGGUGAAAUGUUGUAAUCCUUGGAGGACCACCGGUAGCGAAGGCGUCUGACUAGAACGAGUCCGACAGUGAGGGACGAAGCCCUGGGGCGCAAACCGGAUUAGAUACCCGGGUAGUCCAGGGUGUAAACGAUGUGGGCUUUGUAUUGGAGGUCCCACGUGGGCGUCCAGUGCAGAAGAGAAGUUGUUAAGCCCAACGCCUGGGAAGUACGGUCGCAAGGCUGAAACUUAAAGGAAUUGGCGGGGGAGCACAGCAACGGGAGGAAGCGUGCGGUUU